CCUACGGGUGGCAGCAGUGAGGAAUAUUGGUCAAUGGACGAGAGUCUGAACCAGCCAAGUAGCGUGAAGGCUGACUGCCCUAUGGGUUGUAAACUUCUUUUAUAUGGGAAUAAAAUGUUCCACGUGUGGGAUUUUGUAUGUACCAUAUGAAUAAGGAUCGGCUAACUCCGUGCCAGCAGCCGCGGUAAUACGGAGGAUCCGAGCGUUAUCCGGAUUUAUUGGGUUUAACGGGAGCGUAGGUGGAUUGUUAAGUCAGUUGUGAAAGUUUGCGGCUCAACCGUAAAAUUGCAGUUGAUACUGGCAGUCUUGAGUGCAGUAGAGGUGGGCGGAAUUCGUGGUGUAGCGGUGAAAUGCUUAGAUAUCACGAAGAACUCCGAUUGCGAAGGCAGUUCACUGGACUGCAACUGACACUGAGGCUCGAAAGUGUGGGUAUCAAACAGGAUUAGAUACCCUUGUAGUC
Molecule: ribosomal RNA, 460 nt
Filed under: uncultured bacterium
Lineage: Bacteria
Description: partial 16S ribosomal RNA
Rfam family: Bacterial small subunit ribosomal RNA
Source: RNAcentral